Molecule: small nucleolar RNA, 104 nt
Organism: Pongo abelii (Sumatran orangutan)
Lineage: Eukaryota; Metazoa; Chordata; Mammalia; Primates; Hominidae
Source: Ensembl
AGUUUUCUGUGGUUCAUAAGCAUGAUGAUUGGGUUUUCAUGCUCAUGUGUAAGAUGUGCCUCCCUCAAACCUUGUUACGACGUUGGCACAUUACCCAUCUGAUG